This 104-nucleotide unclassified non-coding RNA is filed under the name uncultured Candida. Its description in RNAcentral is "sequence contains ITS1". The record is from RNAcentral. Lineage: Eukaryota; Fungi; Ascomycota; Saccharomycetes; Saccharomycetales.
GAGAGCCAAGAGAUCCGUUGUUGAUAGUUAUAAUUAAAAAUGAUAUGAUGAGUUUAAUGUAAUUAAAUAUCCACAAAAGUAUAGUCAAAUCAAUAAUGAUCCUU